AGAGAGUUGGCAGAGCGGUCGAAUGCACCUGUCUUGAAAACAGGAAUCCUUUCGGGGAUCGGGGGUUCGAAUCCCUCACUCUCUGCAA
Molecule: transfer RNA, 88 nt
Filed under: Ignavibacteria bacterium
Lineage: Bacteria; Pseudomonadati; Ignavibacteriota; Ignavibacteria
Description: tRNA-Ser
Rfam family: tRNA
About the family: Transfer RNA (tRNA) molecules are approximately 80 nucleotides in length. Their secondary structure includes four short double-helical elements and three loops (D, anti-codon, and T loops).
Source: RNAcentral